ACCUAUCCAAGAAGGCCUCAACAAACUAAUAGCAAGUCAUCCCUAGAGAACCAAUUGGUCUGCAACAAAUAAGUGAUCUUCACUAAUACAUGGCCUCAUCUCUCAAUUGAUAAGUAGUGUAAGCAACCCCAACGACACGAGCGAACCAAGGUUACACAACUUUUCAUGAUAAUCAAUUAAGAAGUCAUAAACAUCCUCGCCUAGAACCACUGAACCUAGUAGGACCUAUAUGAGU
Molecule: long non-coding RNA, 235 nt
Filed under: Capsicum annuum
Lineage: Eukaryota; Viridiplantae; Streptophyta; Magnoliopsida; Solanales; Solanaceae
Description: long non-coding RNA (CANN_LNC001725)
Source: RNAcentral